Molecule: long non-coding RNA, 605 nt
Filed under: Anser brachyrhynchus (Pink-footed goose)
Lineage: Eukaryota; Metazoa; Chordata; Aves; Anseriformes; Anatidae
Description: lncRNA (ENSABRG00000022224.1)
Source: RNAcentral
UUUAAUUGUGUUCUGCACAAUGGCAGCACUUACGAGGAAAAAUCCCAUUACGUAACUGUGUUUGCAUUUCUACCACAGUGAUACUUAGCCAAGAAUCCCUUACUAUGUGGUCCCUGGAGAGCAAGAACAACUCACAGGACUGAUGGGUCAUGCUUCACCAGGUAUCCUGACCAUGAUAGUUCCUCUGAGACAUUAUUGAAUUACAAGGUCUGAGAAGUCCUGAGCACCAGCUAACAGAUCCUUGAGAAGAGGGUCAAGACACAAAGGGAUGUGUUCUUCACUGAAGUCAUGUGAAGCAGUGGAAAGAUGUUCUCCCCUUUCUCUUGGGGAAUUCUUUAGAGAAGGGGAAGGAAGGGGGUUGCUACAAAAAGAAAAAUGCAGUCCAGAAUUGCCUGGUUACUUUGACAUUAGAAUACUGGUGCUGCAGACGCUGUCAGGGCUGAUCUAAGCUGCGGCUUGACUUGAUUUGCCUGGAAAUCUGCCAGUGGCAAGACCACCUCCCGAGCUGAAGUUUAAGGAAAGUGGAGAGAAAGGUUUCCAGAGAAAAGUAAAAUGAGAUUAAAAUGAAGAAUAAAUCAAGGUGAAAGAACUCUCUUCUUUCUUUC